This 253-nucleotide ribosomal RNA is filed under the name uncultured bacterium. RNAcentral describes it as "partial 16S ribosomal RNA". It matches the Rfam family "Bacterial small subunit ribosomal RNA", at positions 524 to 776 of the family's 1533-position model. The record is from RNAcentral.
CACGUAGGGCGCAAGCGUUGUCCGGAAUUAUUGGGCGUAAAGAGCUCGUAGGCGGUCUGUUGCGUCCGCUGUGAAAACUCGGGGCUUAACCCCGAGCCUGCAGUGGAUACGGGCAGACUAGAGGUAGGUAGGGGAGAAUGGAAUUCCACGUGUAGCGGUGAAAUGCGUAGAGAUGUGGAGGAACACCAGUGGCGAAGGCGACUCUUUGGCCUGUAACUGACACUGAGGCGCGAAAGCGUGGGGAGCGAACGGG